UUAUUUUAAGUUUAAUUUAAUUUUAUUUCUUUAGAUAUGGAGAGGUACCUCUUUUUAUUUUAUUUUAUUUUAGGAUUUUAUUUUAGUGUAUAGGGAUGUGGAUUUAUUUUAUUUUAGAGGAUGGGAUAGAGAUUUAUUUUCAUUUUAUUUAAUUUAAUUUUUUAUUUAUUUAAGUUGUAUUUUAGUAGAUGGGGAUGGGGUUUAUUUUAUUUUAACGGAUAGAAAUGUAUUUUAUUGGAUAGGGAUAGUAAAUUUUUUUUUUUUUUUGAUAGAGAAUUGUUUUAUUGAAUAGGGAGAUAGAUUUUUAUUUUAUUUUAUUUUAUUUUAUUUUAUUUUAUUUUAUCUUAUCUUAUCUUAUCUUAUCUUAUCUUAUCUUAUCUUAUCUUAUCUUAUCUUGAGCUGGACAACCACUCCUCAUUGUAUACUUUUGUCAAGUGGAAGUACAACUCAUUCUGCUAAACAUCUUGCAUUCAGCUAAAGAGAGAAAGUCAUACGGGUUUGGACCAGCAUGUGUAAAUGAAGACAGAGUUUUGACUUUCAGCUGAACUUUAAAUAAAGGCUGUGUUUAUUUAACACUGUUUUCCUGCAGAGAAAGGAAAGUAGUCUGAGUCACGGCGUGAUGAACCACAGUCACGGCUCUCUUGUGUAAAAUAGGAUUUGUAGAGUGUGUCUCAUGGCUGCUGUCCUAAUUAUGAAAUAUGUGUGUUUACCACAAAACAACAACAUUUACAUCUUCUUCAUGACUUAUCUGGGUCACGCUCCCAGAUUUACUCACUCACGCAUUCUCCUCAACAGGAUGAAAAGAAGAAAAUGAAAAUCAGCGAAACGGCAGAGCUGGGGAUUCUAGCAGAAACAGGUCUGGAGGGAAAUACUGAAUUAAGUCCUGCAGGAGAAACUAAAGGAGACGAGGAGAAGAAAAAGAAGAAAGACAAAGUAAUUUCUCCUGUUCAUUCCUCCUGCUGA
Cyprinus carpio (common carp) is the source of this 963-nucleotide long non-coding RNA. The record is from Ensembl. Lineage: Eukaryota; Metazoa; Chordata; Actinopteri; Cypriniformes; Cyprinidae.